ACUCCUAGGGAGGCAGCAGUGAGGAAUAUUGGUCAAUGGACGGAAGUCUGAACCAGCCAAGUAGCGUGCAGGAUGACGGCCCUAUGGGUUGUAAACUGCUUUUGUAUGGGGAUAAAGUUAGGGACGUGUCCCUAUUUGCAGGUACCAUAUGAAUAAGGACCGGCUAAUUCCGUGCCAGCAGCCGCGGUAAUACGGAAGGUUCAGGCGUUAUCCGGAUUUAUUGGGUUUAAAGGGAGCGUAGGCUGGAGAUUAAGUGUGUUGUGAAAUGUAGACGCUCAACGUCUGACUUGCAGCGCAUACUGGUUUCCUUGAGUACGCACAACGUUGGCGGAAUUCGUCGUGUAGCGGUGAAAUGCUUAGAUAUGACGAAGAACUCCGAUUGCGAAGGCAGCUGACGGGAGCGCAACUGACGCUUAAGCUCGAAGGUGCGGGUAUCAAACAGGAUUAGAUACCCUGGUAGUCCGCACAGUAAACGAUGGAUGCCCGCUGUUGGUACCUGGUAUCAGCGGCUAAGCGAAAGCAUUAAGCAUCCCACCUGGGGAGUACGCCGGCAACGGUGAAACUCAAAGGAAUUGACGGGGGCCCGCACAAG
Molecule: ribosomal RNA, 592 nt
Filed under: uncultured bacterium
Lineage: Bacteria
Description: bacterial SSU rRNA
Rfam family: Bacterial small subunit ribosomal RNA
Source: RNAcentral